This 371-nucleotide ribosomal RNA is filed under the name uncultured organism. RNAcentral's name for it is "bacterial SSU rRNA". It matches the Rfam family "Bacterial small subunit ribosomal RNA", at positions 526 to 896 of the family's 1533-position model. The record is from RNAcentral.
CGUAGGGUCCGAGCGUUAAUCGGAAUUACUGGGCGUAAAGCGUGCGCAGGCGGUUUUGUAAGCCAGAUGUGAAAGCCCCGGGCUCAACCUGGGAAUGGCAUUUGGGACUGCAAGGCUGGAGUACGGCAGAGGGAGGUGGAAUUCCACGUGUAGCAGUGAAAUGCGUAGAGAUGUGGAGGAACACCGAUGGCGAAGGCAGCCUCCUGGGCUAGUACUGACGCUCAUGCACGAAAGCGUGGGGAGCAAACAGGAUUAGAUACCCUGGUAGUCCACGCCCUAAACGAUGACGACUAGUUGUUGGGGGAUUACAUCCCUUAGUAACGCAGCUAACGCGUGAAGUCGUCCGCCUGGGGAGUACGGUCGCAAGAUUA